Long non-coding RNA from Amphibalanus amphitrite, 629 nucleotides. RefSeq lists it as uncharacterized. Lineage: Eukaryota; Metazoa; Arthropoda; Thecostraca; Balanomorpha; Balanidae. The record is from RefSeq and is a predicted model, not a curated record. The transcript has 3 exons.
CUGGAAAUGAGGUGGUACAGAUGUCCAGAAUGUUCGACGUUAUACACGACGUCCACAUACAGCUGGGACACGCUGGACGAAACAAGAUGCUCGCGGAGUGUCAGCGUCGUUACUAUAAUGUGCAUCGAGUGGCUAUCGAGAUAUACUUGCAAACGUGUAAAAGCUGCGAGCUCAAGAGAGCACUGCCAAGGGACAAGACGGUCACGCGGCCAAUUCUGACUGAUGACGUUUCAAGACGAGCGCAGAUAGACCUCAUAGACUGGACUAGUGAACGAUCAGCUGGAUUUGGGUACAUCUUAAACUUCCAAGAUCACUUGUCAAAUUUUGUGAUUUUACGCCCACUGAAGAAGAAGACGGCUCAAGAGGUUGCAUACCAUCUCCUGGACAUUUUUUGUCUGAUCGGUGCACCGAACAUUAUACAAUCUGAUAACGGUGCAGAGUUCCGGAACGCCUUGCUGGACGACCUGAAGCUGAUGUGGCCACAGCUGAUGCUGGUGCAUGGAAGACCGAGACACUCACAGUCACAGGGAUCAGUGGAGCGCAGCAACAGAGUGGUGCAGGAGAAGCUGAGGUGCUGGCUGCCAGAAAACCCUGGCUGCAAAUGGCCUGAGGGCCUCCGAUUUGUUCAG